UAUUUUAAUUAAAUUUUUUAAGAUAUUUUAUUUUAAAUCGCAUUUUUCCAGUUCGUUUAAUACAAAAACUCUUAAGUCUGGUAACAAUACAAAAUGGCAGCUCUAAAGAAAUCGCUAAAAUGUCCCGUAACAACAAUAUAUCCCGCUUAAAGAUGUAACAAAAAAACCGCUAGAUAUGCCCAUAAUAAUAAUGCUAGAUAAACAACACCAUUCAAAAUUGUGCUGAUAUUUCGUGUAGCAGCAGUCAAUAGCAAAAUUUAGUUGUGUGUGCUUGAAAUCAAAAUUUAUAUUCUUAUUAUUCUAUUUGUUCAAAUAUUAUUUCAUUAUUAUAUUAAAGCGAAUAUUACUGUUUCUUUGUUUAACAAAAUAAAAAGUAAAAUACGUAAACAACGGAAAAACGGCUGCAUAUAAAUUUAAACAAAACGCAAAAUAAAAGUGAAAUUUCUUGUGCUAAAACCUUAAAAUAUAAAACAAAUUAAAAAAAAGAAAAAAAUAUAAUUAAGUGACGAAAUAUCAUAAAAGUUAAAAAUAUAGCGUUUCCUAAUACUUAUAAUAAAAAAGUGUUUUUUUUUCAAAUAUACAUAAAUACCCACUCAUAACAAACGUGUAGUGUUUGGUCCAAUUUAUAAAAAAAAUCAAAAAAUAAAAAACACAAUUUUUUGUUAAAAUUCCCUCCCACAGUGCGUCGGUGGGCCCUGCACAAGUAUUAAAUUUGAAUUUCGAAAAUCAUCAAAGAAAGUUUUAGAAAGGUAUGUAUGUGUGUGUUUGUGCAUUUUUUCAUUUGUUUUUUUUUUAAAUUUACUUUUACUAUUUAUUUAACAAAUUUCUACUGUUUAUUUAGUCUUAUCAUGUUUUUCAUUUCUGUUAAAUAAAUUUACUUUAGAUAACAAUUUUAUAUUGUUAAGAGCAGUGAUAUUAUUCUUGUUUUUU
Long non-coding RNA from Lucilia cuprina (Australian sheep blowfly), 930 nucleotides. RefSeq lists it as uncharacterized. The transcript is spliced from 2 exons. NCBI's taxonomy places the organism in Eukaryota, Metazoa, Arthropoda, Insecta, Diptera, Calliphoridae. The record is from RefSeq and is a predicted model, not a curated record.